ACCUCUGUGGUGCAGUAGAUCAGCAUGUUGGGCUGUUAAACAGAAGCUUGGUGGUUCAAGUCCACCCAGGGACA
Molecule: non-coding RNA, 74 nt
Organism: Podarcis lilfordi (Lilford's wall lizard)
Lineage: Eukaryota; Metazoa; Chordata; Lepidosauria; Squamata; Lacertidae
Source: the annotation of a GenBank genome assembly